RNAcentral lists this long non-coding RNA (42065 nucleotides) under Gossypium raimondii (Peruvian cotton). Its description in RNAcentral is "long non-coding RNA (GRAI_LNC007294)". The stretch from base 1647 to 1791 matches the Rfam family "MIR7502 microRNA precursor family". Lineage: Eukaryota; Viridiplantae; Streptophyta; Magnoliopsida; Malvales; Malvaceae. The record is from RNAcentral.
UUUCACUUUCAUUUUUUAACAAAAACAGAGAGAGAGUCUCUAAGAUUCUCUCAACACUCUCAGCCCUCAGAAUUUGGCGAGGACCCAGUCACCGGAGCACCAGCGGCCGCCGCCGUGCACGGCGGUAGGACGCCCAAAGUUCGUCGCCUUUCGGUGAUUUCAAAGGUACACCUCUUUUUCUUAUUUUAUUUUCGUGUUAAAAAGAAACAAAACAUAAUAAAUAAAUAAAAAAUGGAAAAGAACAAUCGGGGAAGACUAAAAAACAACUCUCAAACUUUCGUUUUCUGUUUGUUUUUUUUAUUUUCGUUUUUAAAAAAUUAAAAAAAAACAACAAUGAAAGUAAAGAAAAAGGAAAGAUUCAAGCAAAAAAACUAGGAAAUCACCUUAGUUUUUUUUUUCUUAGUGUUCGUAAAGAAAAGAAGAAGAGCCAUACAAGGAAGAGAUUUUCGGCUUUUAUAGCCGAUCUACACAACUUUUAAUUUCUAUUUCUUUGUGUUUUUGCUAUUUGUUUCUUCCGUUGUUGCGUGCCUUUUGCAUUCAAUUUUUGCAGGUGUCAGAGCAUACGGAGGAAAGGCGGCUAGGAGCGGCGGUAGCCAGGCAUGGCAGAGGAGGCGAAACGGCGUUGAGGCUGGAGCCUGGGCAUGCGGGGCAUGCGGCGCAUGGAGGCUUGGGGGCUAGGGUUUGGUACUGCUGAAUGGGGUUAAUUUUUGGGCUAGGGUUUCUUAAUUUGGGCCUGUUGGGUAUUUUGGGCCACUGUUUAUUUUGGACUGUGUGUUUUUUUGCUGGUAUUGGGCUUUAGUGUUUUGGGCCCCGGGCAAAAUUUGGGUUUUACAUGAGUAGUUUGAUAUUCUGAUUCAAUCUUGUUCCGAAGAGCUUCAGUAGAGAUCUCGUCCAGGAGGUCCUCGGCAUCAUAAACAGCAUCUUUGAGCUCAUCGGUCCAACUUUUGACAUUUGGGUUGGCAAUCUGCUUAUUUUCAGCAUCAUCCAACACUGCUUUCACCGACAUCAAGGUUGGCUUGAGUUUCUUCAGUAGCACAACUUCAAGUUUCUUUCCUUUGAUAAGCCUCAGAACAUCGGCAUAAACAAUCCUAUCAAGCAGCACCUCAAUGGAAGCAGAGAGAAAAGCUUCAGCCACCAUAGCCAUGUUUUUUUGUGGGGUUUUUUUCGGUAAAUAAAGGUUUAAAGGAAGAUGAAAAGGGAAGUAAUAACAAAGAAAGGAAAAGAAGAGUGCUUCAACUAAAGAGAAGACACGAUUGCAAAGAUGAAGGAUUUGGAUUUGAAACAGAGAAAGGAAGUGCAAAGCAAAUAGUCAACAAGGAACAGUAGAAGGAUUGGAUGAAAGGGGAAGGCUUUAACUCGCAAAUACUUUAGUUUCAAUAAAUUUGUGUAUAAAAUUUCUUUAUUGGAAUGUUUGAAAAAUGAUUUUGGGUUGAAAAGUAUGGAAAAUUAAUGUAUUACACAAAUGAUGAAAUAAUAUGGAAAACAACAUAAUAAUAUAAAAAUAUCUUGAAAUUUAUAUUUAUAAAUUAAGUAGAUUUUAUUCCUAAGAUUGCAAAAUUAACAAAUCCUUUGUAAUUUGUCUUUUUUAUUUUAAAAAAGGGGUAAAUUAAUCCUCGUACAUUAAAUUAAGAGUAAAAUAAUUAUUCUGUUAAAAUUUUUAUCCAUUUAAAUUAUUAAAAAUUGGUCCUAGUAUAUCAACAUGAGGUAUAUAUGGUAUGUCACAUGUCAUUAUUCGGUUAUUUUAUCAAUCAUAUCAAUUUUUAACAGUACAAAUGGAUAAAAUUUUUAACAAAAAAAAGGAUUAAUUUGUUCUUUGAUCUAACGUAUAAGGACUAAUUUACUCAUCUUAUAUUAAAUGGGACAAAAUAUAAUCUAACUCCUAGUAUAGAGAGCUCCAUAAUAUUUUACGGUGCAAAUUAUAUAUUAACAUAUCAAAAAAUUUAUAUAAAUAUAAAAAUACGAUACAUAUCCAUAAAUUCUUAGAUCUAAUAAUAAUAGCCAAGUAGUUUCAAAUAAAUAAAUCUUAGAAUAAAGAAAUGAGAUUAAUAUUCAUAAAACUAGAUAAAAAGAACAGUAAAGAACUGAUGCCGCCUGACUAAGUGACGGCACCCUCUUAUUUAUUUCAAACCAAAAUACAAAUUUAUUUUAAGAGGAUACGAAAUAAAACAAAAUAAUAAUAAUUUUUUAUUAGUGCGGCCCAGGCGGCAACCUAUUAUUUUUAAAAGGAAAAUUGUUUUUUGUACUCUCCUUAUGUAUAUCCAUAGGGAACUCCCAUAAGCCAUAAGCCAUUAAAUGCUUCCAUCGAGUAACCAGUUCAUGACAAAGGACACCCACCGAGGACAGUGUAGCCAUAGAGCCCCAGAGCUCCAACCCACUAUGAAAUAUCCAACGCCAGUGAAGCACCAAUCACACCCCAAUCCAACACAUUUACGAACACCCAACUCGUCAACACAUUCACCCCUAAAGCACAAAACGAGACAUAGGCUAACACCCUAGUCUUCAACUGGCUUUGCAAGAACCUUUGUAAUGGGAACUGAAACGCAAAGCUAAAGUGCAAAGGUAUCAACCAAAUCGCCACCACCCCCGACAUCUCCCCCACGUCGUCCAGCUGUCCGAAUAGCUUUAAAACCGGGGUAGCAAAUACGUAAAUGGGUAACAACAAAGGAGUAAAACGAUCCAAGAUCUUUGCAUGUAAAGGCCGAACAUGUGGUAUUGUUUAGCACCAAAAGCUUGUCCACAAAGGGUUUCUAAAGCACUCGCCAUCCCUAAUUAUAUUAAAGUGAAAAAAAAAACCUAAUGUUAAGAGACAAAUAUGGUAAAAAGAAAACUAAUGGAACAAAAAAGAAAGUCUCAUCUAAUGAAAAUUUACUAUGAGGCCAAAGUUGAAGCCAACGAUGGCCGUAUUGGCUAUUGAAAUAGCUACAAGUUGAACAUCACCAAGGUGACCAGCAAAAGCUUGGGUUAUAAUGUUCAUGGAGUAGAAGCAACAGGAGUUACAGGACUGAUGAUUGAAGGUCCUACGAUGACCCAUAGCUUCUUUGUUUCGAUCCAUAGCCUUGUACUUAAGUCCUUCUUCCCCAUCUUCAUCUCUCCAUUUAUUUUCUUCUGGUUUUGAUUCUUCAUGAUUUGAACCUGGUUCUGUUAGUAAAGGUUGAUGGUAUUCGCCACUGUUCCCAUGGAUACUAUCCAUUAGAGACAAAGUUAAAAUAAUAGACUAUGGGCUAUCUUAGAUUUGCUUGGGACAAAAAAAUUUUUAAAAAUUAAUAAUAAUAGGGUGCGCCAGGCAAGUUGCCAACCACUAAUAAAAAAAUAUUUUUUCCGAUUUAUUCCACAUUGUAAAAAUUUUGUAUUUUGGUUUAAAAUACAGAUGCUGCUAAUUGAUGAAGUUGCGUCUAAAUUUUUUUUUAGAAAUAAAGGGGUGUCACCGAUUAGUCAGCGGCACCAAUUGUUUAUUAUUGCUUAGUUUCGUGAAUAUUAAUCAUCUUAUCCUAUUUUGGUAUUUAUUUAUUUAUUUUAUAUUAUUUAUGUAAAAAAUACCCUAUAGUAUCUGAACUUGAUUAGAGGUUCAGAAACAAAAACAGCACUAGUAACCCAGAAAUACACCAAUACCCAGAUUAGAGCUGAUCUUGGCCUGGCCAGGCUGAGCUUCAAUAGAAUUUUAGGUCUAUUUUUUAGGCCUAGAUACGACUUGAAAAUGGACCUAAAAUUUUGCCUAAAUUUUCUCGAAUAAAAAUGCUAAUAUCUAAGCCUAGCCCGACCACCCGUAUUAAAAUUGUUUACAUUAUUAUUCUUAUAUAAUACAAAUUUAAAAAUAUAAUACACUAAAAACAUUAAAAUAAAUGUUCCCCAACAAAUUUAAAAUAAAUUUAAAAAAUAUGUACAUACUUAAAUAACACUAAAAUAGGUGUAAUUUAGCAAGCAAAUGCCUAUAAAAUAAUAGCAAAAUUAACAAUAAAACGAGAGUUAUACAAUAUCUAAAUAAUAACAAUAAAAUAGUAACAAUAUAAUAACGAAAUGACAACAAAACAAUGACAAAACAAGAGCAAAACAAUGGCAAAAUAGAAUUAGUUAUUUUUUUGCAAAUUUAGGCCAGGCAAAAAAAAAAAUUACCCAAAACCUAACUCAUUUAGAAAACAAGCCUCAUUUUUUGCUCAAGCUCAUUUUGUGGAUCUGUAUUUUUACUCAAAAUUUCCCACCUUUUAUACGAGCCUUUGUGCUGGCCAAAUGACCCAACUCAUAAUCAGAUCUAAGACCAAGUGAUACUAUAUAUAUAUAUAUAUAAAACAAACCAACUUUAGCAAAUGUAGGUCAGAUAUUUUAGCACAUUAUAAGAAAAUUUGCCUUUUAAGGCAAUGUUUAAAACAUAAAGUUUACUAUUGAAAUUGAAACAUAUUUAAAUAAAAACUAUUGUUUUAUAAAUAAAAGUAUCAUGAAAAUCAAUUAAAAUAUUCAAAAAAGUCAAUUUUUUUUAAAAAAUUACCUGAUUAGGCCUGGCACACGGCCGUGUGGCAUCAACAGUCAUGUUUUUCAGCAUCCGAAAUUCACAAAAACUCGGGUUUUCGGUACGUAGAGGAAGUAAUUUUGAAGUAAGAGCAACGUAAAAUACUCCCGAAGCCUAAAGCGACCAUUCAAUAACAAAAGACCUUCUAGCGGAAAAAGAAUACUCAAUUAUGCAUAGAAAACUAUGUCGAAAGUUUCGACACAAGACCUUCAACAACUCCAGACUUACCAACAACAUCAACAGUGAUUACUCGAGUUAUUGCACUGAGGAUUGUUGCUUUUGAUAUCCUCGCCUAAAAAGAAGCCAAAAGGUCCCUUAAAAGAAGGUUUAAACAAUUUGAGUUGGAAACAACUCAGACAAAAAUGAAUGAACUACCGUAUAACGGAAGUUCUAUGAUUAACGAAAUAGACAAAAUGUGCGGACCAAGCAACAAUUGGAUGAAGAAAAAAAGGAAAAAAGAACAAAAAGAAAUAGAUGAAAAAAAUAAAGAAGAAAAGGAAAAAAAUAGCAAUGGAAAGGAAGAGGGAACGCUUAAUUAAUCUAACCAUCGAUCAAAAUUUCGACAUUAACCAAAAACAUUACCUAAUGCAUACGCAGAGACUCAAAUACUAGACCAGAAAGUAGACAGAUGCUUAGCCAGUUAACCAGCAGGCUCAUUCUUGACUGUGAAAAAAUAGAACGUCGAUAAUGACAAUGUAUCACAAAGAAAAGAGAAAGAAAAAUAAAGAACACACAGAUUUUUAUGUAGAAACCCUUUUGAGAAAAAAAACUACAGGUAAAGGAGAAGAUAAUUCACUAUGUCGAAUUCAAAUGAUUAUAAGAGGAGUAGACUAUGUCUAUUGUAAAACCAUAUUAUAAUAGAAUGAGUGUAGUAAGGUUGAAACAUCUUAUUCUAAUCAAUAUCGAAUAUAUGAAGUGUAAUAAGGUUGAAAAACCUUAUUCUAAAAUAAAAUAAAAGAAGUGUAGUUCUAUAUGGAUUUUACUUUUAUUUUAUUUUACCACAAUAUUUUAUUUUAACAAGGAUUCGGGUCACUCAAUUCUAACAAUCUCCACCUUGACACGAAUUCUCAAUGAAUAAUUUCUUCACCAUGAACUCUCAACGAAUAAGUUCUCCACCUCUUCUAUGAAACCCUUUAAGGGGUAUUUUUCAACAAUGAACACCAACCAAGUCUAAACAAUGCUCAAACUUGGUUAUGGGAAGUGACUUAGUCAUCAUAUCUGCAAGAUUUUCAUGAGUACUAAUUUUGCUCACAAUACCACCACGAGUAAUAAUAUCAUGAACAAAAUGAUACCGAACAUUAAUGUGCUUUGUUCUCUCAUGAAACAGUUGAUCUUUUUAAGCACUCAUUUACAAUGAACAACCUUUUUUCCUUUAGGAAGUUUCACAAGAGCUCAUGUUUUAUUUUUGUUGAGUUAUUCCAUCUCUUUUUGCAUAGUAAAUAUCUACUUUUCUGAGUCUUCACAGCUAACCGCUUCAGAAUAAUUAGAUAGAUCUUCAUUUGCAUCUAUAUCUUUAGCCACAUUUAAAACAUAAGUAACUAGAUCAACAUCGAUAUACUUUUUUGAAGGUUUAAUCUCUCUUCUAGUUCUGUUUUUGAUGAUAGAAUAUUAUGGUAAAGAAGUAAAUCUAUUCUGAAUUUCUAUUCUGGCUUGAGGAGUCAACUUUGUUUUAGAUUCUAGAUUAAUCUGAUGCUCCAUCUACUUUUGCUGUUCUUUAUUAGAAGAGUCUUUAAGAGAUAAGUUAGGUAGCAUAACAGUUUGAUUAAAAACAUCUCUAUUAAUCACAACUUUUCUAUUUUCAAGACACCAUAACUUAUACACUUUUACACCAGUUUUAUAACCAAGAAAAACACAUUUAAUGGAUCUCGGUUCCAAUUUUCCAUUAUCAACAUGAGCAUAUGCAGGACACCUAAAGAUCUUUAAAUCAGAAUAAUCAGCAGGAUUACCAGACCAUACCUCUUGUGGAGUCUUUUUCUCAAUGGCACUUAAUGAAGACCGGUUGAUAAAAAAGCAUGCAGUAGAGGCUGCUUCGACUCAAAAUGACUUUGGUAAGUUGGUAUUCGAUAGCUUACAUCGAACCUUCUCCAUAAUUGUUCUGUUCAUUCAUUCUACAAUGUCGUUUUGCUGUGGAGUAUGACGAACUAUCAAGUAUCUCAUGAUCCCUUUUGACUUGUACAAUUCAUUAAACUCAUCAGAACAGAACUCUAAGCUAUUGUCUGUGCGAAUGUGUUUUAUUUGAUUUCCCCUUUAUUUUUCAAUCAUAGUUUUCCAAGACUUAAAUGUAGAAAACACAUCACUUUUCUACUUUAGGAAAAAUGCCCAAACUUUUCUGGAAAAAUCAUCAAUAAGUGUUAGCAUAUAAUUAGCUCCACAUUUCAAAGGCACACUAGAUGGCCCCACAAAUCAGAAUGAAUAUACUUUAACAUUCCUUUCAUGUUGUGGAUUUCUCUGCUGAAUCAAACUCUCUUUUGCUUCCCAAAAAGGCAAUGCUCACAGAACUUUGGUUUGCAAAUUUCUUACCCAUCAAGAAGUCUUUUUUUGUUCAAUUCUGUCACACUAUUCUCAUUCAUAUGCCCUAGGCGCAUAUGCCAAAGUCUAGUAACAUCAUCAUCUGAUAAGGAAGAGGAAGCGAUAGUUGCAUCACCAAUAAUCGUAAAACCCUACAAAACAUAUAACUUGACAGUCUUUCUUUGUCCUUUCAUCACAAUAAGGGAACCUUUGAAAUUCUUCAAAACUCCUCUUUAUGUUGUAUAUUUGUACCCUUUUGAAUAAAAAGUACUCAACGAAAUCAAAUUUCUCUUCAAAUAUAGAACAUGACGCAUGUCACUAAGUGUUUUGACAACUCUGUCAAACAUCUACUUUUCUUAGUCUGCAGAGCUAACUGCCUCAUCUCUUCAUCCGUCAAUGUCAAAGGCAUUUUAUCUAUCCGUAGCAGAGCAUCCUCUAAGUCCAUCUGCGCAAGAAUUGUCUACAUCUUUAUCUAUCACAACACAAAUCUGGUUUUCUAAUCCAAUAGUGAAAUUUCAUACCUCAAAGAUGUCAUUACCAUGAUUGAGAUGAACAACCUGGAAACUCUGAUACCAAUUUGUGAAAAAAUAGAACGUCGAUAAUGACAAUGUAUCACAAAGAAAAGAGAAAGAAAACUAAAGAACACACAUAUUUUUAUGCGGAAACCCUUUCAAGAAAAAAAGCACGGGUAGAGGAGAAGAUAAUUCACUAUGCCAAAUUCGAAUGAUUACAAGAGAAGUAAACUAUGUCUAUUUAUAGGCUUGUAAAACCAUAUUCUAAUAGAAUGAGUGUAGUAAGGGUGAAACACCUUAUUUUAAUUAAUAUAAAAUAGAUGAAAUGUAAUAAGGUUGAAAAACCUUAUUCUAAAAUAAAAUAAAAGAAGUGUAGUUUUAUAUGGAUUGUACUUUUAUCUUUUUACCAUUGUAUUUUAUUUUAACAAGGAUUCGGGUCACUCAAUUCUAACAAUCUCCACAUUGACACGAAUUAAAUCUAAGUCAGUGGCCCAAGAGUAGAGAUUAAUUAAAAUUAAAUUAGAAGAACUUCUAAAGAUGCAACUUGAACUCCUGACCUCAACCACAUAAACAGAGCACAUAACAACAGAUACAAAGACUUAAUUACUAUAGAAUCCCACAAAUAAACAUUCAAAUUUUUAGGGCGUUACCCAGCAUAUGGAUUAUGUGUAACACCCCUAACCCGUAUCCUUCUCCAGAAUAGGGUUAUAGAGCAUUACCGGAGUUUACAAAUUAAUUUUCAGACAUUUCAUUUCAUCAAGCAUUCAUAUUUAUAACCAAUCAAAAUCAGAACAUUUAUGAGCUAACAUUGACUAAUUUAACUUAUACAAGUCAUUAUAACCAGAAUCAAAUCAUCCAAAAUUACCGAUAGAACCAAUGGAUAAUGUAAUAUAUCUUCAACAAGCUUCCGAUAAUCAUUUCAAAACAUCUAACAAUUAUACAUAGUACCAAUAAUAACUCAAUUCCAAUAAUAAAACACAAAUAUAUAAUAUUCAUUACCAAAUAGAAUUCACUUUAAUUAAAAUUAUACAAAAUAUAGUUCAUACGAACUUAACAGACUAAAUUGCAGAAAUACCAAAAUUCAGGGGCAUUUUGGAAAGUUUCUAUUUUUCUCGAAUUUCUACCCAAUUUUGAUCUAAAUUAAUAUUUCAUUCAAUUUACUAAUUUAAAUAAUAAAACAAUUCAUUUCAUGCAAUUUGGUCACUUUUUUGACAUCUUUACAAAUUUACCCUUAAAGUUUCUCAUUUGUUCAAUUUAGUCCCUAAACCUAAAACAUGUAAAUUGGUCAUUUUUAAUGAAAACUCAUGCUAGUUGAAUAAUCAUAUAUUUUCCUCCUCCAGACUCCAUUCCACAUCCUUAAUGUAUAUAACAUGCUUAUAUGUAACAUUAUCUAUAAUUUCACCAUUUAUUCAUAUAUUCAUUCUAAAUUGUCCACUUGAGUCAUAGUCACUAAAUUAUUUAUAUCUUGAGCUAUAGAACUAAAAAUUGAGAUCCGUUAAUUUUAUAUGAAACUAGACUCACAUAUCUUCUUACCAUAAAAUUUUCAGAAAAUUUAGUUCAGCCAAUAAGUACAGUUUAUUCUUUAAAUUCAUCCCUGUUCUGCUGUCUGACAGUUCCGACCCUUCUUCACUAAAAAUUAAUUAUUUCCUCGUACAGAAUUCGAAUGAUGUUACCGUUUGUUUCUAUUGAAAAUAGACUUAUUAAGUAUUUAAAUAUAUAAAUUUAAGUCCAUAAUUAUUUUUCUCAAAUUUUUUAUGAUUUUCCAAAUUCAGAACAGGGGAACCCAAAUUCAUUCUGACCUUGUCUCACAAAAUUUAUUAUAUCUCAUGAUUUACAAUUCUGUUACUUAUUAUAUCUCAUGAUUUACAAUUCUGUUACUUACACCGUUUCUUCUAUGAGAAACGAGACUCAAUAAGCUUCAAUUUCAUAAUUUUUUUAUCCUCUAAUUCGAUUUUCACAAUUUAUGGUGAUUUUUCAAAUUUAACCUACUGUUGCUGUCAAAAACUAUUUUAAUGCAAGAUAUUGAUUACUAAGUUUAUAACUCCCUUAUUCCCUUUCUCUAUAAUAUUUCCCAUCACUUUCACUUAUUUCCGUUCACUAAUAUAUCAAGAAAAUAAGACUUUAUAUAAGAAAACUCUACUAGAACAUCAUUUCUAUGCUUUUUCAAUAAUAUCAAACUUAAAAACAUAUUGAAAUCUUGAUGUUCUUACCUUGUCCUAUUGGUUUCAAUCUUUAACUUGAUUUUCUCUCUCCUCCAGCUUCUAUUUCUUUAAUCUAACUUGAUAUUCUAGCUCCCCAUAGUCUUCUUGUUAUUUUUCUCUCUUGAUGGCUAUAAAAAUUCUUUUGAUUUCUAGGUGAAAAUAGUAAAUUUUUGGAGGAAGGACCAAAUUGUAAAGAAAGCAAAACUUUCUUUCUUUCUUUCUCUCAUCUUCACGUUGGUGCAUGGGAAGAUGAUGGCUUGGUUCCCUUUUUCAUCUUUUUUUCCACAUAUAUAUAUUUUAAAUAAUAAAAUAAUAAAAUAUCAUUAAAAUAUUAAUAAACUAAUAUUUAUUUAUUUAUUUAAUCUAAAAUAUCUCCAACAUCAUCAUUAUCUUCUAGAUUACUCUCUCUUCUAAAUGACCAUUUUGCCCUUCAUGAUCUUUUAAAAUUCCAUCCUUGAGUCAUCACUUAAUUUGGAAAAAUUAUGAUUUAAUCCCUCAUAAUUUUUCACCUAUUCAAUUAGGUCCCAAUUCAUCCAUUUUCUUUAGUUUCUAGAUUAUUCCACCCUUAAAAUAUUUACACUAUUGGUCCUUCAAACUUUUCAUAUUUACACUUUAACCCCUCAAAUUUUAAGUAUUUACUCUUGGGCAACAAAACUUUUCUCACUUUUGCAAUUUAAUCCUUUCUUGAAUUAAUAUGUCAUAAUAUACUUUCCAAUGUUGACAUAACUCAAAGUUACCAUUUUUAUCACUUUAUUUCCUUAUUUACUAUAUCAGGAAUAUUAUCUUAUUUUUUUACUGUAGUAAAUUUUUUUUUGGGGUAUUACAUUAUGAGUCUAUAUAUACACACAUAUCUACAUCUCACAUGCUUAAGAAAAUAAGAGAAAUGAGACUUUGGGUCUAGAAACAAGCGUUUUCUAAAAUUUGGCCUAUUCCUUUAAGUUUUACAUAAAUAAAGCUAUUCAUGUAAAUUUUUUAAUUUUUCGACAUUUAUUAGUAAACUAGUCAAUGUUUUUAAUCAUGAAUAUAAUUUUGGGUUUAUAUGAAAUAUGCAGGGCAAGAUAGUAAUGUUAUUAUUAUUGUGUAUAUAUAUUAUAUAUGCAUAUCAAUGAUUUUGAGGAUUAAUUCAUGAUUAUAGUAGGUGUUCAUAACCAUUAUUCAUUGUUACGAUGAUUUGGUGCAAACUCAUGUAAACUAUAAUACAGGUUUAAAGAAUUUGGUUUUUCAAGUUUGAUUUUAUAAUAUUUGGUUUUGGCAUUUUAUGGUUCCAAAUAUUUGGUCAAAUUAUGAUAUGAUUUACGAAAUGAAUUGUGAGAUAUACCAACUAUUACAAAAUUUGGGUUAAGAGUUAGAUUUUGGAAUUUCAAAUUUUAAAAUUGAAUAUAAAACAUUAAAAAAAUUGUAUUAUAUCUUCUUUCACACUUCCUUCAAAACUUAAACAAUAAAUAAUAAAUUUUGUAACAGCCCAUUUUCAGUGAAAUCAAAAUAGUGGUUUCGAGACCACAAAUUCGACAUGAAAAUAUUUAUUUUUAUUAAUAUUUUAGUGUCUACAGUAGGUUAGUAGUGUCGUACAAAAAUUUUGUUAAGAAAUUUUGACGUUUGCAUCUUAAUUAAGUAAAAAAAAAGGAUUAAAUCGUAAAAGGUGAAAAAGUGCAGUUCAAUUAGAUAAAGGCAUUAAAUUGCUAUGAAAUUUUAGUUUGAGUGACUUAAAUGAUAAUUAAACCAUUUUAUGAGUUAAUGGACAUAUAUGGACAUCAUUUUAAUGAUGUUAAAGGUUUAUAAUAAAGGUUAAUUUAGUAAAUAAAUACAAAUUAAAUCAAUUAAAAGAAAACUAAAUGUCUAUCUCCUCCAAGUUCUUUCUCCACCGUAAUUUAGAAGAGGAAGAAGCCUUUUUAGGGUUUUUCCAUUCGGCCAUAGUCUAUCCUUGCAUGUAAGUGCAAUUUUGUCCCGUUUUUAAUUAUUUCUAUGUUUUUGAAGUCAUUAUAGCUUAAUCUUGCUAGCCUAGGGGCUAAUACGCAAAAUUGUUAAAAGUAUAGGGUUUUGCCAUGAAUUUCCUAGCUUGAUAUUUGUAGUUUAAUGAAAUAUUAUGAAUUUUUGUUGAUAAAUAAACAACUUUUGCAAAGUGAUUUUUGUUGAAAAUGUCAAAUCGAGACUUGAUUGUAAAAAUAGUAAAAAUGUAUGGUGAAAUUGUGAAAUAAUGAUUUGUAUGAAUUAAUAUGUGUUCAUGAAGAAUUCAGCUAGCUUGGGUUAGGGAUGAAACUGCAUGAAUUUCAAUUUACGAGCAUAAAGACUAAAUUGUAAAAAGUUAAACUGUUAGGGGUACAAUUGUAAGUAUGCAUAAAUGUGAUUUGUGGAUUGAAUUGAAUAAUUGAGUUUGAUUGAAACACUUAAUUGAAUAUUAUUAUUUAUUUAGAUUAAGAUAAAUCUCAACCAGAUUUAAAUUGAGGAAAGGCGAAAGUCACAGAUUAACUUGAUUGUACUCCUACGCACUAGUUGCCAAUGUAAGUUCAUAGUAGUUAAACGUAUAAUUGAUUUUCCAUAUGUAUUUUUACCUUAUAAAUAUGUAAUUAAAUGUUAAUGUAAAUUAUAACCUAUUUGUACUUCAGUACCUCUGAUUGCACAUACGUGCCCUUGUUCGUACUUCCGUAUCCUUGAUUGCACUUAUGUGCCCCUGUUUACAUUUUCGUAAUUUCAAUCAAGUAAAAUAAGAAUUGUGUUCAUUUGAUGCUAAGUUUAAAAGAUUUACUAUGUUCUUACUGAGCUUUGUAAGCUUAUAGGUUUUUGUGUAUCAUUUUGUAUAUUGUUAUUGCUAACCUUUGGACGGAUCGAAUCUUCAGCUCACACUAUCCAUCAUUGUUGGUAGCUCUUAAACUCUUUAGGGUUGUGGCAUGUAUAUGUGGCUAUUUAGUUUGUUUUGGUAUAAUAUGGUGAAUUACUAAACUAGGUGAUUAGGUACUUUUCUAUGUUUGUGAAUAGAUAUCUUUUGGUACAAAUAGAAUGUUAUGAAAGUAAACACUUAUGGAUUGUUUUGGUUUGUUGAUGGAAUAAGUUGUUAUGUUUGGUUUAUAAAUAUGGUAUAUUGGAUGGUGUGCUUUUGGCACUUUGAUGCUUAAUGGAUUGUUAUGGAUAUGAUCAAUUUGGUAUGUCUGAAUUGUGGUUAAUUAUGAAAUGAUUAGGUAUGUUUUAUGUAUGUGUUUGAGUUGUCUAUAUGACGUAUUGGUUAUAUGGAUUAUUAGCUUAUUGUAUGGAUAUUUUUUUGUAGGUUUUGAGCAUGUUUAUGAGUUUUGAUCAUGUGUGCAAAAGUGCCUAAGUUUAUGCUUGUGAAGGAUAAAAGAAAUGACUUGAUUUUAGUCAUUUUCUUGUCCACACAGCCAAAGACAUGGGUGUGUGUCUUAGCCGUGUAUGACAUACGGCCACGUGAAAUGGUCGUGUGUCCCUUAUAGGUUUCAAAGGGUGGUAAGUCAGGCAGUUACACAGCUUGGCACAUGGGCGUGUUAGGCCAUUUUGAUAGUUACACGACUUGACACACGGGUGUGUGGCUUGGCCGUGUAGCCCAAGUCAGAGAGAUACACGGGCACAAACACAGGCUAGGACACGGCCGUGUGUCCCUACUUUUAAUGUCCACACGGCCUGAGACAUGAGUCGUGUGAGUUACACAGCCAUGUGACCCCUGCAGUAUGAAAUUUUCUAACUAUUUCCAUAUUCUUUCAUAUGUCCCCAAUUUAGUCCUGAAUCAUUUUUAAACUAUUUUUAAGGCCUCAAGGGUUCAAAUAAAGGAUGAUAUGUAUGUGUUUGAACAAGUUAUGAUAUGAUUUAUGAAAUGUUUGCAAACAAAUUAUUUAAGUUGCAUAUUUACAUUAAUGCUCUGUAACCUUAUUCUGGAGACGGAUACAAGUUAGGGGUAUUACAAAGUUUACUGAUAAUAUAUCGAUGAAGUUCAAGGGUUUCAAAAUUGGAUUGGUAGGCAAACUAUAGACCACUAGUUCAUGGUUUAACUGGUUCAAUCGAUCCAAUUGAUUCAAUUGAAUAAAUUAUUAAAAAUAAAAAUAUUUAAAAAUAAAUAAAAUCAAUUCAAUUGUCAAUUUGAGUGAGUCAAUUGGUUUAACCAGUUCAUGAGUCAACCAAUUUGACCUUUUAUUCCAAACUAGUAUCUCGAACGAUUCCCAAUCCGAUCGAUUUGACCAGUCAAUCCGAUUUGGUUCUUAAAACAAUAACAAAACUUCAUGUGUUUAAUUUAAUACAUUAUAAAUAUGCUAAAUUUUCAUUUAUAUGAUAAUUUUCACAAUUUUAAUUUAUAAACCCUAGACUUUUAAUUAAAAUCUAAGUAAGUACAAAAAAAUUUAUAUGAUUGAACUAAUUAGGCCACCAGUUUGCUAGUCCAAUCGGUUUAAUCAGUUUGACCGAUACGAUCGGUUCGACCAAUCUACCUGAUUCUAUUAAAUAAAUCAUUAAAAAAUCAUAAAUAUAAAAAUAUAAAAAAUAUUAUUUUAGUUCAACCGGUUCAACUGCAUAACCAAUCGGUUAGUAUUGAUUCCUGGGACAGCUCGUUUAAUGACUUUCGUCAAACAAGUACUUUGGCUGAUUCCCAAUUCGAUUGGCCAAACUAAUCUUGUUCAAACAAUAAUGUUCAAAAUCCUCCUAAAUAAUUAAAUCUUAAAGAAAAAACAUUUUUAAAACUUAAAAUUAGUUGAAAUCCAAAUCAAUAAAUUUAAAUCAAUUCAAAAUUUUAAAUUUCAAAUAUUUUUAUUACCAAAUAAAAUAUUUAAAAAUAAUGAAAUCAUAAAUUUCGAACUUAGAAAUUGAUAUUUCAAUUCUCAAACAAUAGCUAAUAGUUUGGACGGGUUUGCAGCACUCACAAAAUCAUUUAAUACUUAGUAACACAAGAAUGCACCUUAAUUGCUCUUUUUUUUUUUUAACCAUGUUUUUGGUUGUUUACAAAUAAUUUUGCAUAAAGAAAAAAAAAUCAUAUUAUAGCAUAACCAAUAGUAUUAUUCUAAAUUAGAAAAUCUUAUUAUAAGUGCAUACGUGUAAAAAUUACAAAUUUAGAAUAUAGAUAUAUGUUUAAAAAUAUCAUUUAAUAAUAAAUAAUGAAACUUAUGGUUUGAAACUAAUUAAUCAUAACAACACAUGAAAUAUAUAUGAUACUAAAAUUAAAAAAUAAAUUAAAUUAUGAGUAAAAUGAAAUUAACCACAUACAUACAUCAGAUAAAUCAUAAUUAAUUUUAAAUUAAUUACACAUUGAACUGGAAAAGAAAAACCGUUCAUAUCCUUUUUCUUUUAGUUUUCUUUUCCAUUUUGAUUGAAAAAAAAAUUUAUUCUCAUCCUAGUUAGACAUCUAAAUUGGCAUUUAAAACUCAUUUAGACCGCCACGUAGAAUUGCUUUUAGGGAGGUAACGGAGCUUAACGGCAGAAUGAGUACUACUUCGUAACAAAACGAUAACAUAAGUAACUAGAAUGUAACAUUUCAAACAUAAGUGACUAAAAUGUAAUAUGAGGAAAACAAAAGUGACUAUUUUUGUCGUUUAUCGUAUUAUUAAUUUUUUAUUUAAAAUUUAAUUUAAUUAGAAUUAAAUUAAAAUAUAAUUUUUUUAGCAAAAUUUGAUUAAUAACUUAUCCCUACUAAUUAUUUGAUUGUUAAAAUUCAAACUAUUUAUGCAAAGUUUUUAUUUUUAUCCUAAUAAUUAUUUUUGAUGUGUGUAGUUAACGUUGAAAACCUUAAUUUUCCCUGUUAAUUACUUUACUAUGAUUUCAGUCGUGAAUAUGUUAUUUUGAAUUUUACGUCAUCAGUCAAUCAGACUUUAUAAUUUAGUUGUCAAAAUUCAAAUUAUUUAUACCAAGUUUAUAUUUUAAAACACACAUAAGUUAUUACUUCUUGAUCAUAGGUCAGAUUGAUGUAAAAUUUUAAGUUCGAGCUCGGCUCAGAAAAUGAGUUUAAAAUUUUACUCAAGCCCAACCUAAAUUAAUAAUGCUAAAAUUGAGCUCGACCGGGUCUUCCCAUAUUGAUUUUUUUUAGAUUUUUUAUAUAAAAACAAAUUUUAAAAAUAUAAUAUAUCAAAUGUAAACACCCUAUACCUGACCUAGACAUUACGGUCAAAUCAUGGAGAUUACAUCUAACGAAUGGAAAAUUCAAUUGAACAACUCUUUUUUGAAAACACAAUGAUUCUCCUAAAUCGUAGCUUAAUUGUGUUACUAACAUCAAAAGCAAUUUACAUGAAAACAUUUGCGUGCUAACAAAAAAAAAACAUUUUGAGAGAAUUUCAGUUAAUCUUACAGUGAAAAACCUUAUAGUUUUUUAUAUAUAAAAUCGUGGUUCAUUUUUAAUUAUCAUAGGUUAAGCGUUUUUAAUGACUAAAGCCUUUGCUUAGUAAAUAUCAAAAUAGUCCUAACUAAACAAAAAUAAAAAUGUUCAAAACGAAAUAAAAACCCAAAACAGUCAAAAAAAUGUCCAUAAUAACAAAUAAAAAGUCCAAAGUGUUUAAACUAAAAUGUGUAAUUCGAGCUCCAGAGUCGCCAUCUAAUCCUAAGUCGAAAGAUCACCUGAAACAAAGAAAAACAUAGGCGUGGGCUUUAAGCCCAAUGUGUGAUUUGGCCCAUAAUUUCAAUAAUUUCAAUACAAGCAAUCAUCAAUUUGUUUCAUAGCAUAUCAGGCUUCAUAACUAGACAUAUUUUAUCAUAUCAUAUCAUAUCAUAUCAUAUCAUAUCAUAUCAUAUCAUAUCAUGUCCUACUCCCAUCCGCUACAUAUUGUCUCCGUCCAGCCAAUCAUACCAUAUAAGACUACUAGAGUCCAUCUAUUUAGUCACUUCAAUAGGUAGCAAUGUGCCACUUAUAUAAUUGCAGUUGAGCUGCUAUACAUAAAUUUGUGGUCUAGCCGCCACAAUUAUAGUAUAAACUAUCAUAUAAUGUAACACCCCAAACUCGGCCUAGACGUUAUGGUCAAAUCUGGCGUGUCACAUUGAAGUGUCUUUCGAAAAGUAGACUUGUUGGUAACAAUUCGUUUCUAAGUUUAAAACCCCUUUAUUAGUGUUUAACAAAACAUCUAGUCAAACGUUUACCUUGUUAUCUACUUUAGUUAUAAUGGGUUGAUUUUAAAUCGCGGCAACUUUUGAAAACUCUGAUCAUUUAAAUUUAGUAUCUUUGAAAAUAGUAAUUAUUUUGAAAAUUCGUCUUCUCUUAACCUAGUAGUUUAAGGUAAAUAAGCAAAAGCCCAAUUAGAAAUUCAAACAAACUUAAAGGCCUUAUUACAAAAACCAACCCAACAUAUAAUUUAAAUUUAAAAUAAAAGCAACUGUAAACAGCAGCAGUUGUGUGGCCACCUCCGAGUCCCUCGCAGCACUGAAUCGCCUAUAGCUGAGGAUUACCUGCACAGUUAAAAGGAGAGAGUGAGUUUACAAAACUCAGUGUGUAAUCCUCUACCAAACAGUCAGUAUACAACAUGCAGUAACAAACUGAGCUUGAGCCCUAUUCAGUAACAGUACAGUGAGGGCCUUAGCCAAAUACAGUAACAGUGUGGGCCUUAGCCCAAUACUGUAUCAGUACAAUGUAAUAAUACAAAUCAUCCCAAUCCAGUCAACAUACCACUCCGUACCACCAACACACCAUGUGGGGAUAAAAUUGACCCACCCAGCCAACACACCAAUAUCGCAGUAAAAUUGCCAGAAGUAGCAUCGCAGCAAAGCUGCUAGUAACAGUAUUGAAGCAAAGCUGCCAGUAACAGUAUCGCAGCAAAGUUGCCAGUAACAGUAUACUCCCUCCAUUGCAGUAUCCCAACCCCAUGCAAUAUGUCAUGUCAUAAAUCAUACGUGUAUGCAAAAUAUCGUAUUCAAUCAUAGUCAUACAUAUCAUAUAGCAAAUCGGUCAUACAUACAUAAGGCCAUAACAGUCAUUUUGACUCUUAGGGGUAUAACAGUCAUUUUACCCUAUGGGGGUAUUUCGAUCAUUGUACCCUAUGGGGGUAUUUCAGACAUUUUACCCUAUGGGGUAUUUUAGUCAUUUUACCCUAUAGGGGUAUUUCGAUCAUUUACCCAGAAAUGGCAAGUUGGGCUUAACACUCGAGCGAUCGCACGCCUGUGUGGUCUCAAACGUCGUAUUUAUGGCUUUUUGGUUUCUGCCGUUCUACAGUUACAGUAGGGUGUUUACACACAUAUUUAUGAGAAGAGCGCAAAUCUCCACGUACACCAACCUAUAUUCAAACAUAACCUAAGUCAGUCCUUUAAACACUAGGGUAAAACACCCUCUUAUUAACAAUUAAUCCAAAACACCAUCCUUACCUUGCUUGAAAGAGGGCGACUUUACUCCUCCAAGACCGCCAACCAAAAGUGGUCACACACUUAUCGAUUAUCUGCACCACAGACAGUGAUCUUAAUAACUAAGUUAGGCUAUAUAAGUGGCCAAGAAGGGUAUUCGGUUUUAAGAAAAAGAAUAGAAGAGAAUUGAUUUAAACAAAAAGUGACAAGUAUCAAUACUUUACCGAUAAUCAAAAACACUUACAGCACUGGGACAGCAAAAGCAACGAGGAGAAGAUCGGCGCAGAGAGUGAUAGAACAGAAGGGUGAUAUUCGACUGAACCACACUCAAUAAAAGAAGAUAGCUCAUGGUCAAAAGGAAAAUAAUGGAAGGUAGAAAUCAAAAACAGAAAGAGAAAAAUAUUCGGUUAAAGAAGAAAAGAAAAAGAGAAAGGAGAUUCGACCAACAGAGAAGAGAAGAGGGGAAAAGAGAAUGAAAGAUUCGGCAACAAGAGGAGAGGGAAAGAGAGAAGAGCAUUCGGCAAGCAGAGAAUAUGAGAAGGAAAAAGUAGAAAAGGAAAGCGAACAAACCCGAAAGGUAUUUUAAAACUUGGCAAAAUUCAGUACCAAUAACUAAUAGAUGAAACACGAAACUGACCGAAACCAAAAUAGACAGAAGAAAAACAACCUCAAACAUCGAUUACCUCAAUGGCUAAUGACCAAAUUCGGCACAAGCAUACCCCUAGCCGAAUUCUCAAGCUAGAGUUUCCCCAAACGGCACAACUCUCCUCUCAAAUAACUCCUUGAUUUUCUCCUCGUAUCUAUCCCCUUAUCCCUCAUUGAAUCACUCCACUGAUUUCUCCUCAACUCCUCCAACAAGCCAUUCAAAUUCCAUUCAAACUCCCUUUAGCUGUGUUUCAGUCCAACUCCGCUACCUACACAGCUCAAGCAGCAAAAUAAACACUCCAUUGCAUAACUCAGGACUUGAACCUCAGACCUCACAGUCACACAACACGCCACAUUGCCACCAGACUACAAGCUCUUUUUGUGUCAUAAAACAAACACUAAUAUUUAUAAGGACUAAAUGCCAAUGUCCAGAUUCAUUUAAGAGUAAAACUAAAAAUUCUGCAAAAACCAAGACUUGAACCCAAGCUUCUCAAACACUCCCAUACACACCCAAAUCACUUAGCCAUUAAAGCAAACAAGCAAUUUGCGUCAAAUUAUGCAAAAAUCAAAGACUUAGAUUUUUGGGGCGUUACAUAUAACACUUCUUCCAUUAUAUCAUAACCCACCUCGAAACACAAACAAAUCAUAAUCGUAUAACAUACUUAAAUAUAUAUAUAUAUAUCAUAACUCAAUGGCAUGCAUACUUACAUAUUGUCAUACAAAUCCUUACAUAGCACAUGGUUAAAUGGAACAUUUCCUACUUAACAUACCUCCUAAACUUAUCUGUAUACUUUUACGUACUGAUAUUUAGGCUUUUCUGGCCCCAUACGAUGCCUACGGACCCAGAUUUUGAGUCCCUCAAACUACCCCUAAUUGGGCCCUAAAAUUGGGCAAAAAGGCCUACGCAACCCAAAAAGCUAGCUCGUGUGGUCUAUACGGCCUACCACACGAUCUGCAAAGUUUUACACGGACGUGUGCUCCACACAACCAAGCCACAUAGGCUGUAAGAUUUCAUAUGGCCAUGUGGUGCACAAGAUUUACCACACGGCCUAGCCUAUGAUUAUGUGGCACUAGCCAAUUUCGAUGAACAGCCCCUAUUUUACGAAUUUAACGAGUUUCAAUUCAAUUUUUUGGUUAUUUUCACACACCUGAUUACGUAGUCAACUAACUUCAAUAACGGGAACUCACAAACCUACAAUUACGCAACAGUCGUACCAACAAUAUGUCAAAAAACAUCACCUUAAUACAACAAAAUUAUAGCCCUUAAAAUGACAUUUGAGUCCUUACCACUUGGAAAAUAGCGACUAAAAUAGAACUUAAUCCAUUGAAGGGAUUGGAUUAUCGGUUCCUUUGCCUAAUCAACACAAGAACAUUUAUCACCUUAAGCAAAAAAAAAAUUGAAUCAAAAUAACAGAAAAAAAAGGUACAAGAGGGAGAGGGAACAAACGGUUCUAGGAAAAGAGGAAUAUAAGGAUUUGAUAGACUUAAAAUAAAAUAAAAUAAAAUAAAAAUAGCAAGUUUUAAUUAAUCCAAACCCCACACUUCAGAUUUAAUAGAGUUUAACUAAACUUUAACACCUACGAGAAGCCCAAGCAAAAAGUAAAAUGUAAUCAAACACUUAACCAUUAAACCACUAAACCCAUCAUUAUUAUAACCCAACAAAGAAAUUGAUUUAAGCCCUAAGGUUCAAACUUAACUUAAAGUAAAAAUAAUAAUAAUAGAAAAUCUCAAAACUAGAUAAUUGAACUCAGGACCUAAAACAAACUUUUAAGACAGUUAACCAACGCUCCAAAUCAAAUUACUUAACCAACCUACACAUUCAAAAACCCAAAAUUUGGGGCAUUACAUCAAAUGUACAUAUAUUUAAUUACGUAAUGAUAUUUAAGCUUUUCUGGCCCUAUACGAUACCUACGGACCUAGAUUUCAAGUCCCUCAAAUUGCCUAAAAUUGGGCAAAAAGGUCCAUGCAGCCCAAAAAGCUAACUCAUAAGGUCCAUACGGCCUACCACAUGGUCUGGAAGAUUUUACACGGACGUGUGCUCCACGCCAAGCCACAUGGGCUGCAAGGUUUCACACGGCCAUGUGGUGCACAUGGUUUACCACACGGCCUGACAUAUGAUCAUGUGGCGCUAGCCAAUUUCGAGGAACAGCCUCUAUUUUGCAAAUUUAACGAGUUUCGAUUCAAUUUUUUGGUUGUUUUCACACACCUGAUUACGUAGUCAACUAACUUCAAUAACGGGAACUCACAAACCUACAAUUACGCAACAAUCAUACCAACAAUAUGUCAAAAAACAUCACCUUAAUACAACAAAAUUAUAGCCCCCAAAAUGACAUUUGAGUCCUUACCACUUGGAAAAUAGCGACUAAAAUAAAACCUAAUCCAUUGAAGGGAUUGGAUUAUCGGUUCCUUUGCCUAAUCAACACAAGAACAUUUAUCACCUUAAGCAAAGAACAAUUGAAUCAAAAUAACAGAAAAAAAAAGGUGCAAGAGGGAGAGGGAACAAACGGUUCUAGGAAAAUAGGAAUAGAAGGAUUUGAUAGACCUAAAUUAAAAAAAAUAAAAUAAAAAUAACAAGUCUUAAUUAAUCCAAACCCCACACUUCAGAUUUAAUAGAGUUUAACUAAACUUUAACACCCACGAGAAGCCCAAGCAAAAAGUAAAAUGUAAUCAAACACUUAACCAUUAAACCACUAAACUCAUCAUUAUUAUAACCAAACAAAGAAAUUGAUUUAAGCCCUAAGGUUCAAACUUAACUUAAAGUAAAAUAAUAAUAAUAAUAGGAAACCUCAAAACUAGAUAAUUGAACUCAGAACCUAAAACAAACUUUUAAGACAUUUAAUCAACAUACCAAAUCAAAUUACUUAACCAACCUACACAUUCAAAAACCCAAAAUUUGGGGCAUUACAUCAAAAGUACUAAAAAUAUUAAAAUAAAUGUUUCCCAACAAAUUGAGAAUACAUUGAAAAAGUCUUUAUACUUAAAUAACAUUAAAAAAUAACAUUGAGAUAGUUGCAACUUAGCAAGUAAGUUCCUCCAAAAUAGUAGCAAAAUUAACAAUAAAACAAAAAUUAUACAACAUUCAAAUAAUAACAACAAAAUAGUAGUAAUAAAAUAGUAAAAUGACAACAAAACAACAAUGAAAUGGCAACAAAACAAUAUAUUUGGUCAGGUCAGACUUAGAUCAAAAUUUAUUAAAUAUAUAAUUUUUUAUUAUAUGAUAUAAUUAGUGACUCAAUAGUUACUUAUGAAAACGCCCAAUUGAAUCUAAUUCACAACCUCUUCCAAUUUUUCAUUCCCAGAAAAUUGAAUUUUGUUUCUAAAUUCCCCCUCAAAAUCAUAAUGAUAGAUUUUUUUUUCAUAAUAACUUUUUUUUUUAGCUCCUCUUCAAAUUACUUAAAAAAUGGAUGGAAAAAUUAAUGUUGGUUAAUUUUGUUCAUAUAGUACCUACGUAUAUAUCACGUAAGCAAUUAAUUAAUAUUUUAAGUUAAAAAUAUUAAAAUAUGUUUUUUAUGUUUUAUAAUUUUUAAUACUUUUUUAUUUUUUUAAUAUAUAAUAAAAUAAUUAAUUGCUAACGUGGCAUUCAUGUGGCAAUCUACGUGUAUGUCAUGUCAGCAAAGUUAAUAAAAUGUUUUUUUUUCAUCUAUUUUAGUGUGAUUUGAUAAACAAUACAAAUUUAUUAACUAAAAAUAUGAAAAUCAAAAUGAAAAUGAAAAUAAUUUUUUGUUUAGGUUAUUGAAUCAAAUAAAUAAAUUAUAUAUAUAGACAUAUAUACACACACAUUUGCAUAUAGUACUAUGUGUUAUUUAGCUGUUAGUGGAACAUGUCUCAAAAUUAGUAGUGGGCAGUUUAUGGUUUACAGAUAAACAUGCAACAUCUAUGUUUCUACAUUGCUACAAAAUAACACGAUAAUGAAACCAAAAUUAACGUUGUACACAAAUGACGAAAUAAUAUGGAAAAGUAACUGUGACUUGAUGAAAUAAUAACAACAUAAUAAUACACAAACAUUUUGAAAUUUAUACCUACAAGCUCUCUAUUAAAAGUUUAAUUGUAUUUUAUUUUUAUUUAAAAAUGAGUAAAUUAAUCUCCAUACGUUAAAUUAAAGAGUAACAUGAUUAUUCUAUUAAAAAUUUUAUCUAUUUCUAUUAUUAAAAACUAGUCUCAGUACGUCAGCAUGAGAAAUAUAUGACAUGCCAAAUGUCACAAUUUGAUUAUUUUGUCAACUAUGUCAAUUUUAACAGUACAAAUGGAUAAUUUUUUUAAUAAACAUUAUCAAUUUACUCUUUAAUCUGACAUAUAAGGACUACUUUACCCUUUUAUUUUUAAGUAGAGAGGACAAAAUACAAUUUGACUCUUAAUACAGAAAUCUUCAUAGUACUUUUACUCUAUAAAUUAUAUAUUAACGUGUAAAUAUUUCAUAUAAAUAUGAAAAAUAGGAUACACAUACAUGAAUUGUUAGAUCUAAUAAUAAAAGCAAGUAGUUUAAAAAGGUAUUUAUUUUCCUUUCCAUUUUAAGUAAUUUUUUGUGUUUCCAAAUGAUUGAUGCAUAUCUACUAAUAAUAAUCUAUGAUUAACAUGUUAAGGUAUAUCUAAGAUACGAGUGUCAUAUAUAAAUACCUGAAAAAGAAAAAGAAAGUAAGCUGGGAUCAUUCACCAAUUUUCUUUUAUGUAAGUGAACAGAACAAACAGAGCAGUAGUACAUGUCCGUCAGCCAUUUCCUAGUGCAUGAAUCCGGAGAUGAUAAUCUAGAAUCACAUAAAUAUAAAGAAUUCACUUCUUUUUCUGCAAUUUAUUUAUACAUUUGGAAAUCCAAUUUCAUCUUCUCAAAUGAUAACUUAAAAAUGGUAAAGAGUCAAUAGGGUUAGUUGCGCAAACAAAUGUACUCGCAUGGGAAUCAAGUUCCACAAUUACAAUGAAAGACCUUCCCGUUGAAAGCAAUUUCAAAAGAAACCAUCCUUAGAAUUCAAUGAAUCAUCAAUAUCAUAGUAAGGAAACAUUAUUGUUGCAUGAACUCAAGAUUACCGGAGCCACUGAUUUCAUAUUGCAAAAUCCACAGACUUCAAAUCCUUAUUCUUUCUAUUCCUGUCUCUGAGGUAUCUAUUCUUUUCUUAUUAUAAUACAUUGUUUUGACUAUAUCACACUAUGUAUCAUUUAAUAAUUGAAUAGAUCCCUAUCUUUGAUUUAAAUCGAAUUUGUAAUGGAGGAAUUUCAAAUAUAUUUAGAACUAGAUAGAUCCCGCUGACACGAUUUCCUAUGCCUACUUAUUUGUCGGGAGUAUAUUUAUGCACUUGCUCAUGAGCUUAGUUUAAAAAAAUCGAUGAUUUUUUUUUAAAUCAGGGUUAUGGUAAUAAAUUCAGUUCACUAAUUGUGAAACAUUUAAUUCUUCAAAUAGAUCAACAAAAUCAUUUGAUUAGUUCUGCUAAUGAUUCCAACCAAAAUCUGAUUUUUGGGCACAACAAUUAUUUGUAUUCUCAAAUGAUAGCUGUAGGAUUUGUAGUCCCACUUAUGGGGUCAAAUCCAUACAUUUUGAGAAGAAAUAUUUGAAUAUAAAUCUCAUCGAUCUCAUAAGUAUCAUACCAAAUCCUAUCAAUCGAAUUAUUUUUUUUGAGAAAUACGAGACAUCUACGUCAUACAAGUAAAGAGAUCUAUUCAUUGAUAAGAAAAAUAAAAAACGUGAGCGGUGAUUGGAUUGGUGAGAAAAUAGAAUCAUGGGUUGCGAAUAAUGAUUCAAUUGAUGAUAAAGAAAGAGAAUUCUUGGUUGAGUUCUCCACCUUAACGAAAGAAAAAAAGAUUGAUCAAAUUCUAUUGAGUCUGACUCAUAGUGAUCAUUUAUCAAAGAAUGACUCUGGUUAUCAAAAGAUUGAACAACCGAGACCAAUUUACUUAUGAUACUUAGUUGACAUUCAUAAAAAGUAUCUAAUGAAUUAUGAGUUCAAUACAUCACGUUUAGCAGAAAGGCGGAUAUUCCUUGCUCAUUAUUAGGCAAUCACUUAUUUACAAACUUUAUGUGGGGCUAAUUGUUUUCAUUUACUGUCUUGUGGAAAACCCUUUUCGCUUCGCUUAGCCCUAUCUCCCUCUAGGGGUAUUUUAGUGAUAGGUUCUAUAGGAACCAGACGAUCCUAUUUGGUCAAAUACCUAAUGACAAACUCCUAUGUUCCUUUCAAUACAACAUUUCUUAACAAGUUCCUAGAUAACAAGCUUAAAGGUUUUCUUAUUGAUGAUAUCGAUAUUGAUGCUAGUGACAUUAUUGAUCGUGACCUUGAUACGGAGCUGGAGCUUCUAACUAUAAUGAAUACGUUAACUAUGGAUAUGAUGUUGGAAAUAGACUGAUUUUAUAUCACCCUUCAAUUCAAAUAACUAAAAGCAAUGUCUCCUUGCAUAAUAUGGAUUCCAAACAUUCAUGAUCUAGAUGUGAAUGAGGCGAAUUACUUAUCCCUCGAUUUAUUAGUGAACUAUCUCUCCAAAGAUUGUGAAAGAUGUUCCACUAGAAAUAUUCUUGUUAUUACUUCAACUCAUAUUCCCCAAAAAGUGGAUCCUACUCUAAUAGCCCCGAAUAAAUUAAGGCAAAGAGAGACGAUUUCGCGAGACUUAGCUUGGCAAACAAGUUGAUUAUUCGAGAUGUUCUGUCAUUGUUAUUGGCCCUUCACUUUUAUUACAUCGCUGUGGAUUGCCUCACGAAAUAGAAAUAGAGCUUUUCCAGACAUUUGUAAUUCGCGGUCUAAUUAGACAACAUCUUGCUCCGAACAUAAGAGUUGCUAAGAGUAAAAUUUGGGAAAAAAGAUCGAUUGUAUGGGAAAUACUGCAAGAAGUUAUGUGGAGACAUCAUGUAUUGCUGAAUAGAGUGCUUACUUUGCAUAGAUUAGGUAUACAAGCAUUCCAACCUAUUUUAGUGGAAGGAUGCGCUAUUUGUUUACACCCAUUAGUUUGUAAGGGAUUUAAUGCAGACUUUGCUGGGGAUCAAAAUGACAUUUCAUAUACCUUUAUCUUUAGAGGAACUACUAAGUACUUAUCAUUAAAAGGAACUACAAACAAUCAAUGUAUAAUGCAUAACACUAUAAGUUUAUGUACUCAUAUUACCAUCUUUAAAAAAACUCAAAUAAAGGAAAAAAAUAAAUUGACAAUAAUCACAGCAUUGGAAAAAAUUAAAAAAAAUUCAGAGAUGCAUCGCUUUAAUCAAUUUGCUAAUAUUUACAUCUUAGCUUUGCCAUCAUUAGAAGCCCUAAGAGAUUCUUUACAUCGUAUGCACAAAAAGUCAAGUAUUAAUGGCCUACCUUUCUCUACAUUUUAAAGUCCAAUUUUGCAAACACUCUCCUAACGAGGUUCUUUGAGUUCCCAAUAGAUUUGGUAGUGCCUUUACUUGAUCGGUCUCAUUUAUAUGUCAAAACAUGAUUAGAGACAAAACUAAAACCAUCACCACUUUCAGUGAAAACUGAAAACAUGGUAAAAUAAAAUCACCAAAAGAACAAGCGCACUGAAACUACAACCAUAACAGUUUUUUUUUUUAAACAAUGGAGUAAAACUAAAAACUAAACAAAAUUGUUGAAACAGUGGUGACCGGUAAGUAGCCCAGAGGUGGGUGUGGCUGCCGGCAAGACCAAGUUAUUAACUUUAAAUUAAGAAAAAGUAAGGUGGUAGUUGUAGGCCAUACAGUUUUAUUUGCUUUCGGUGGUGAAGCUCUGAUUAUUCAAUUCAUAAAUUAAUUGAAAAAAAAAAAGGAACAAAUUUGCAGCAAAGUCAAGAAAGUACAAGGAAAAAGAGAAUAGUAUGGUUAGCCCCACUUCACUUUAAAUUAAGAAAAAUAAAGGUAGUAGUCGUAGGCCUUUGCGCCUCCACUACAUAGUGGACUUUCUUUUAAGUGUUGACUGAUGAUUCCAUUCAUAAAUGAAUUGAGAAACGAAAUCACUUGAAACUUGCAAUAAAGUGAAUAAAGUAGAAGAAAAAGAAUAUUGAUAUAUCAACUUAUCACCAUUUUUAUGAUUAUUAUUUCUUUAGAUAUAAGUCUUCUAAACAAUAUAAUCUUUAUUAUAAAUAUGACAUUACAAAUUCAAUAAAUAAAAGUAAACUUGAUAUUAAAAGUUUUAUUUUACUUUUAUCAAUCAACCCAUUUACUCUAUUUCCUAAAUUUUAGAUUUUAUUUUAUGAUAUAUAUAGUCAAAAUUCAAAAAUAACAUAAAAUUUCAUGGAAUCUAGUUUUUCCAGAUUAGCAACCAUUUAUACUAUUCCUAGCUCAGGAAAUUGGUUCUUCAUUUACAAGUUGAGUCUCAAAAUCAAAGUCCUCCACCUAAUGUAUAUUAUGUUGAUGUGAUAUGUCUCUAAAUUAUUGAGUGGAAAUUUUAUCAUGGAUUCAAUCAUUUUCAAUGCUACAAAAUGACAUAAUAGCAAAACCAAAAACUUAUCCUUAAAACAAAACCAAAACCUUAACUCAAAUAUUACAUAUGAAAUAAAUAAUUAAAACAUAAGGUGUGAAAUCAGGUUAUGAGAAAUAAGAAGAGCAUAAUGAAGAAAACUGUCUCAAAAUUUAUAUUAUACAAGUUAUUAACAAAUCAAAAUUUAUAUAAAUAUAUAAGUUUUAUAUAAUUCCCUGUUGGGUCGAGAAUGCAUUAUUAUCUCUAAUUCCCUAUUAAGUCAAGAAUAGUUCUCAAACACCCUAUUGAGUCAAGAACACAAUGUUAUCUCUAAUUCCCUCUUGGGUCAAGAACAUAUCAUUAGCUCCAAUUCUCAGUUGGGUCAUGAGAGUGUAUUGUUGUGGUAAUACACGUUUUCGAACAUGAAAUCAGCUAAUAAAGGUUAAGGUAUAAAGAUCGUAGUUGCUUGUUUGAAACAUGGUUAAUUAAUGUAGAUACAUUGAGGGUGCUUAUAAAUGAUAAUAAAGAAAAUAUAGUGCAUGAGGGUGGACUAUGAUAACAAAAUGCAUUUGUAAAAUGGUAAUAAUACUAAAUAAAAACAAUAAAUAAUUUACUUAAUAAAAGAUAAAGAUAUCCCAUAAAAGAAUAAGCAAUCAUUCAUUUGGAUGCCAACCAGCUUUGCAAUCAAUCGUAUAAAUUAUUCAUGUAACAAGUGGAGAUAGAUUAGGAUCGUUUAGCUCGAAGGCAUCUAAAGAUUACUGUUCAACUUCAUUUAAGUUAAUUAGUCAUUGUGAAUAAUUAGAUGAGUUUGGCAUGUACAUAGAUUUAAAAUAGAUGUUGGAGUCAUUUGAUGAUGUGGUAUCUAUAAUGUUGAGAAAUUGUAGUCUAGGUAUGUAUAUAUGUAUGUAAUGGUACUUAUAUAGGGUUAAGAUCGUAUGCACUGAUCUUUAUACAAUGUUUAUUACAAGUUUCACGUGUUUUUUGCGUGCCAAGUAAACUAAUUUUGAUGAUUGAAUUUGGAAAGGCUAUUAUUAUGUUGGUGGUCAUAUUGUUGGAUGUGUUUUGACAAGCAUAAAUGGUGUUUGGGACAUGAAUUUUGAGUCCUAUAAGUCUUGAAAAUGAAUUGGUAUAUGUUAUCAAAUCAGGUGAAAUCAGGUGAUUUUAGGGAUUGUUCCAACAAACUUAUUUUGAUAUAAGAGAUCAGAUGUAUCGGUACAACUAAGUCAAUCUCCAAAAUUGAACGAUAACAGGAACUUGUAGCGAUACAACUAGGUCAAUCAAUGUCUCCUCCCUUGUUUUAAGUCAUUUUGAUCCUUGGACACCCUGACUUGGUCCUAAACAACUUUGGUCACCUAGAACUCAUAUUAAAAUGUUCUAAAUGAAUUUAAAUGACUUAUAAACAUUUUUAAUCAAGGCAAAUAGUUUUCUAUGAAUGAGUAAAUGUUUGUGUACAAGUUGAUUUUAGAGUAUGUGCUUUUCUCUCUUUACCUACAUUUAGAGACAGAUUAGUAAAAAUAAACAAGACAGAGGAUAUAUGCCAUGUCCACUGCAAACUACUUCGUAGCUAUUACAAUGAAGAAUAUUUUGCCUUUCAUCCAACUCAAGCAACAUGCAGCAUAAAUUUUCCCUAUACAUAAACAAAACAUACCAUAAAUCAUUUUGCAUAAGCACUAUCCGUUGGUCGAAUGCUGACCAGUCAAGCCCUACCAACUUUUAAUUUGAGUAUUUUUUAAGUAGAUAUGUUUGAGUUAUUUAUAUUUUAUAUAAUUUUUCUCUAUUACAUAAACAAAACAUACCAUAAAUCAUUUUGCAUAAGCACUAUCCGUUGGUCGAGUGUUGACCAGUCAAGCCCUACCAACUUUUAAUUUGAGUAUUUUUUUAAGUAGAUAUGUUUGAAUUAUUUAUAUUUUAUAUAAUUUAUAUUAUUUAUAUUUAGGCGAGUAUUGAUUCACAUGUAUAAUUUAUAUUUUUUUUACUUGACAAGGAACCUUAAAAAAUUGUUAUAUAUUUUUAAUUUUAAUAUUUUACGAUAUCUUUAUAAAAUAUUUGUUAACCUCUGACCCUACUUAUGAAAUCUAAAAUUUUUAUUGAUAGUGUACCAAAUAUUAUUUCUUUAUAUAUUAUAAAAGUAAAAUUUCAUAAAUUUAAGAAAAUCAAAAUUUUAUAUAAUUUUUAAAAAUUCAUUUUGAAUUUGAAAUUAAAACUUUUAAUAUUUAUUUUAAAAUUUUGAUAUAAUAUUUUUAAUUUUUAUAAUUAACAUUGUAGAGAAAUAAAUCUUAGUAAACGUAUUUUUUGAAUUUCUACUCCAAAAAUGUGUCAAUUUUUUUAAAGAAUUAUUUAAAACUUGAUUCAAUUCGAAAAAAUUGAAAAAGAAGAUAAUUUGAAAUAAUUUGACUAAUUGAUUGGUGUAAGCCUAAGUUUGAAAUAAUAUUUUUUAUUAGCAAAAGUUGUAAAUUUAUUUUAGUUCAUUUUAUUACAAUUUAUUUAUAUAUCUUUAAAUAAAAAUAAACAAUUAAAGAAUAAAAAAAUAAAUCAAUAAAAUAAUUUAUUUUAAUACACACCUUAAUGUUAAUGGUAAUAAUACUAAAUAAAAACAAUAAAUAAUUUACUUAAUAAAAGAUAAAGAUAUCCCAUAAAAGAAUAAGCAAUCAUUCAUUUGGAUGCCAACCAGCUUUGCAAUCAACCAAACUUACACAUCACACUUUUUGUUUCAUGUCUAUCCAAAUAUGAAUGCAAUACCACCCUCUUCACUUCUUCUUUUCUCACUCACUGCCCCUUCUACAUCAUGACUUCACCCCCAAUUUCAAUGACAGGGAUGUGGGAAAUGUUGGCCCAAUCUUUGCCUUUCUCCUUUUUACAACGUUUCUCCAGCAAAGGACAGUUCCUAAUGUAAAAAAAAGAGAGGGAGGGAGGGAGCAUGUUUGGGGGCAUGGAUUGGAGCUUGGGACAACUGUCGAUAAGCAAUCUGGAAAGAGAGGUGAGGUGUUGAAACCCCUUAUACUCCAAACUCUUUAGAUUUGGAAGUUGAGAGAGCCAGAGAGUUUCAAGAGAAGAGGGAAGCAGAUGUUCAUCUGGAAAACACUCCAUCUCUACUUCUGAAAAUGAGAUCUCGAGAUCUGUAAGAGAAGGGAGUGUAUGCAAACUCCAUUCCCUUUUCCUAAUCAAGCUCUCAAUUAGUUUAUCACUGCUUCCGAUUGUAAUUCUUUUUAAUUUGGAGGGCAAACCCUCUUUUGGAACCCUCUCUAUUUCUGGACAUACAAGUAUUUUCAAAUCCUCAAGGGAUGGAAAGACAGAGUGCAUUUGCUCUGGCAAUGACUUUAAACUAGGGCAACCCAAAAGCGUAAGCCGGGUCAAAUUGGUUACAGCUAAUCCAUCUUCAAUUUGAAAAGAUUUCAAAUUUUGGCACCACUAUAUUUCCAAAGAAUUGAGACAUGUUAGAUGCUGGUGGUGAGAGCCCUCUAAAGCAGCACUAAAAAACUUCAAGUCUUCACAUCCAGAAAUUUCAACAUGCUUUAGCAUAGGAAACGGUCCUAAUGAGAAAGAUUCCAGUUGAUCACACUUUGUACCUUUUAUCUUCAGAGAUUCAAGGGAUGUAUACAAGAAGAUUUUGGAAUGAUUAAAAGCUUUGCACUGCUCGAUCCUCAGUUUUUUCAGUGUAAUAGACACACUAUCCUCAGGAAGGGAUUUGAUAUUAGAACAACCAGAGAUAAUUAACUCGUCGAGAUGAGUGCAGUGUUUCAACAUCUGUUCCAAUAUGGAAUCAUUCAUACUCGAACCUUUGAUGCCCAACUUUCGAAGCCCACAAGGCAAUGGCUCCAAUUGCAGUGCAUCGCAUCUUUCUAACUCAAGUUCACAAAUGCCUGGUGUCCUUGGGAGAAAACAUUCAAGCUUCUCACAAUUUGCAAUCACCAAUUUCUUUAAAGAGGGGAGGUGUUUGGGUAUUGACUUGAUUAGCUUUGGACAAUCCCUGAUGCGUAGCUCUUGCAGAAGGGAGAAAGCUUCAUCACUCCUACACAACCAUUCUUCCCACCCAGCCAUAUUCUCAAACACUAGGAUUUCAAGAGAUCCAAAUGGUUUAGUCGAAGCUUGUCCAUUACUAUAGAACUCCUCGCCAACUAUUACAACUUUCCUGAACCCAGAAAUGGAGAGAGAUUUCAAAGAUGAUAAUUGGCCAAGCGGAGGCAAAGAUAUGCAAAAUUUACAAUCUUGCAACUCCAAAGAUAUCAUAUUUGAGAAGGACAAAUGCCCCACCCAUUCUGGAAAUCUCCUGCCUUUGUAACUUCCGAUAACUAGAUGCUUCAAGUUUGUAUUAGGCUCCAAUUGUUCCAAUACUUCUCUAUCAUGCUUUGAGUCACCAGCAAUAUCAUAAUAUUCAUCCCAUGUCAACUUCAACUCCUUAAGAUUAACCUUAUCCUUCAAAUUGGCAUCUUUGGCAUCCCUGGCAUUUACAACAUUUUUCAGUCUUGAAAUGGCAAGUCUUCCCCGUAAGUGCUUGAGCUUUCCCAACUCAUUAAUGCUUGAGCCAGUUUGAUCACCUAUAACAAAAUCUGUUAAGAUUCGAAUAUCUUUCAACUUACCCAUCCCUUCUGGCAUCCUAGUUAACUUUGUUCCCCUAAUAUCAAGAUAAAGCAUGUUGAUCAAUCUCCCCAUGUCUCUCGGCAACUCAACAAGGUCACUGCAUACAUGCAAUGUCAAUGCUUGCAAAUUAUACACCGUACACAGAGAAUUUGGCAACCUUGUGAUUGAAGUUUUUGAGAGAUUCAAAUUUCGUAGAUGCUUCAAGUUACUAAUUUCUUUUGGCAAUUCUUUGAUAUUUGUAUACCCAGCCAAAGAAAGCACUCGUAAGCUUGAUUUCAUCAACAAAUCAUGCAUUAGCACAUUGCUAACACUACAAUAGGAAGAAGACUUCACAGUUAGGAAAGCACGCAGACAUUUUGCUUUAGGUAAGCUCUGAAAUUUUUGUCGCACAUCAUAAAAUUCUUGGACAUUGGACAAAUGACGGGUCUUUUCAGUUAUUACACAAGAACCACCACUCCCUUCCAAUCUGCAGAUGAAUUCUCCGGUGACAGAUUUAGCCAAGUCACUAAUUAGAUCAUGCAUGACAAAACAAGAUUUCUCUCCUUUUGAUUGUUGAAAAAAGGACCUCAAUCUCAAAUCUUUGAAGUACUCGUUACCCAGUUCUUCUGGAUUUCCAUUAUCUUUCGAAAGCUGUAAAAGUCCUUCAGCCAUCCAUAAUUGAAUAAGUUCUUCCUUUUCGAAUUCGUAAUCUUUAGGAAAAAUUGAACAAUAAGCAAAACAUCGCUUUAAAUGUGAAGGAAGAUAAUGAUAACUUAAUGCUAGCGCUGGAAGAAUAUUACUUGCAGUAUUUGGUAUGUCCCAAAAAUUGCUAUGCAAGAUUUUGUUCCAUUCAUCAGCGUCUAGUUUACAGCGAAGGAGACCUCCAAGUGUUUUUGCAGCCAAAGGAAGGCCGUUACACCUUUUCACGAUUGCUUCACCAAUUGCCUUGAGAUCCGGAUGCGUACUUGGGGUUGUACCAACGAACGCAUGCUUUGCGAAUAACGUCCAACAAUCAUCAUUAGAUAAGGUCUUCAGAGGAUAAGUUGGAAUAGUCCUCAUAAUGUCGGCAACANNNNNNNNNNNNNNNNNNNNNNNNNNNNNNNNNNNNNNNNNNNNNNNNNNNNNNNNNNNNNNNNNNNNNNNNNNNNNNNNNNNNNNNNNNNNNNNNNNNNUUACAAUCGAAUCACGAGUUCACGGUCAAAUUUGAAAGGAAUGCUGAGCUGCUCCCACACAGCAUAGUUUUCAUUCCAAACAUCAUCCAUAAUGAUUAGAUAUUUCUUUCCCAACAGCUGCUCUUUGAGUUUAAGUUGAAACUGAUUUAAGUUCUGGUUUCCAUCACAGCUACAUUUGGUUUCUUCAAGAAUGGUUUUGGUUACCUUGAGAGCAUCAAAUUUCUCUGAAACACACACCCAUGCUUUGGGGUGAAACCAUUUAUCCACUCUGGGGUCAUUGUAGAUCAAUUGGGCAAGGGUGGUUUUUCCAAGCCCGCCCAUACCCACAAUGGGAAUCACAUCUACCUGAUUUUUAGGCAGAUUUUGAGGAUCCAACAACUUCAUUAUUUCUUCUUUUUCAUCAUCUCUACCACAAACAUCAGACUCGUCCACCAAAGAAGUUGCAGGCGUUCUUUGAAAUGCCUUUUCUCCUUCAGAGUUUUCUUUCAGACCCAGAAUCUGUUUUUGGUUCAGUAGGUUGUCUAGUCUCCCAAGGAUCUCCUCUAGCUUUGACUGCGCCCCAUCUUUGAAAGGAUUCAAAGAAGAGAAAAAGCUACUAACCUGCUUCAUAUUAGUAGUUUGAUAUUCUGAUUCAAUCUUGUUCCGAAGAGCUUCAGUAGAGAUCUCGUCCAGGAGGUCCUCGGCAUCAUAAACAGCAUCUUUGAGCUCAUCGGUCCAACUUUUGACAUUUGGGUUGGCAAUCUGCUUAUUUUCAGCAUCAUCCAACACUGCUUUCACCGACAUCAAGGUUGGCUUGAGUUUGUUCAGCAGCACAGCUUCAAGUUUCUUUCCUUUGAUAAGCCUCAGAACAUCGGCAGAAACAAUCCUAUCAAGCAGCACCUCAAUGGAAGCAGAGAGAAAAGCUUCACCCACCAAAGCCAUGUUUUUUUGUGGGGUUUUUUGGUAAAGAAAGGUUUAAAGGAAGAUGAAAAGGGAAGUAAUAACAAAGAAAGGAAAAGAAGAGUGCUUCAACUAAAGAGAAGACACGGUUGCAAAGAUGAAGGAUUUGAAUUUGAAACAGAGAAAGGAACAGUAGAAGGAUUGGAUGAAAGGGGAAGGCUUUAACUCGCAAAUACUUUAGUUUCAAUAAAGAUGAAGCAGCCUCAUCCAAUUUGUGUAUAAAAUUUCUUUAUUGGAAUGUUUGAAAACAUGAUUUUGGGUUGAAAAUUUUAAAUUUUUUUUAUAACGUAUAAAAAGUAUGGAAAAUUAAUGUAUUACACAAAUGAUGAAAUAAUAUGGAAAACAAUAUAAUAAUAUAAAAAUAUUUUGAAAUUUAUAUUUACAAAUUAAGUAAAAGUAUUAUGGAGCUCUUUCUACUAAAAGUUAGAUUCGUAAUUUAUUUUUUAUUUAAAAAAAAGGGUAAAUUAAUCUCCGUACAUUAAAUUAAGAGUAAAAUAAUUAUUUUGUUAAAAUUUUUAUCCAUUUAAAUUAUUAAAAAUCGGUCCUAGUAUAUCAAUUUUUAACAGUACAAAUGGAUGAAAUUUUUAACAAAAAAGGAUCAAUUGGUUCUUUGAUCUAACGUAUAAGAACUAAUUUACUCAUCUUAUAGUGAAUGAGAUAAAAUAAAAUCUAACUCUUAAUAUAGAGAGCUCCAUAAUAUUUUACCGUGCAAAUUAUAUAUUAACAUAUCAAAGAAAUUUAUAUAAAUAUAAAAAUACGAUACAUAUCCAUAAAUUGUUAGAUCUAAUUAUAAUAGCCAAGUAGUUUAAAAUAAAUAAAUAUCAGAAUAGAGAAAUGAGAUUAAUAUUCACGAAACUAGAUAAAAGGAACAGUAAAUAAUUGGUGCUGCCUAACUAAUUGACGGCACCCUCUUAUUUAAAUUGAUGAUACCUAUAUUUCAAACCAAAAUACGAAUUUAUUUUAAAAGGAUAAUAAAUAAAACGAAAUAAUAAUAAUUUUUUAUUCCCAGAUGGCACCCUAUUAUUUUUAAAAGAAAAAUUGUUUUUUGUACUCUCCUUAUGUAUAUCCAUAAGGAACCCCCAUAAGCCAUAAGCCAUUAAAUGCUUCCAUCGAGUAACCAGUUCAUGACAAAGGACACCCACCGAGGACAGUGUAGCCAUAAAGCCCCAAAGCUCCAACCCACUAUGAAAUAUCCAACGCCAAUGAAGCACCAAUCACACGCCAAUCCAACAUAUUUACGAACACCCAACUCGUCAACACAUUCACCCCUAAAGCACAAAACGAGACAUAGGCUAACACCCUAGUCUUCAACUGGCUUUGCAAGAACCUUUGUAAUGGGAACUGAAACGCAAAGCUAAAGUGCAUAGGUAUCAACCAAAUCGCCACCACCCCCGACAUCUCCCCCACGUCGUCCAGCUGUCCGAAUAGCUUUAAAACCGGGGUAGCAAAUACGUAAAUGGGUAACAACAAAAGAGUAAAACGAUCCAUGAUCUUUGCAUGUAAAGGCCCAACAUGUGGUAUUGUUUAGCACCAAAAGCUUGUCCACAAAGGGUUUCUAAAGCACUCGCCAUUCCUAAUUAUAGUAAAGUGAAAAAAGAAAACUAAUGUUAAGAGACAAAUAUGGUAAAAAGAAAACUAAUGGAACAAAAAAGAAAGCCUGAUCUAAUGAAAAUUUACUAUGAGGCCAAAGUUGAAGCCAACGAUGGCCGUAUUGGCUAUUGAAAUAGCUGCAAGUUGAACAUCACCAAGGUGACCAGCAAAAGCUUGGGUUAUAAUGUUCAUGGAGUAAGAAGCAACAGGAAUGAUGAUUGAAGGUCCUACGAUGACCCAUAGCUUCUUUGUUUUGAUCCAUAGUCUUGUACUUAAGUCCUUCUUCGCCAUCUUCAUCUCUCCAUAUAUUUUCUUCUGGUUUUGAUUCUUCAUGAUUUGAACUUGGUUCUGUUAGUAAAGGUUGAUGGUAUUCGCCACUGUUCCCAUGGAUACUAUCCAUUAGAGACAAAAUUAAAAUAAUAGACUAUGGGCUAUCUUAGAUUUGCUUGGGACAAAAAAUAAUUUAAAAAAUUAAUAAUAAUAGGGUGCGCCAGACAAGUUGCAACCACUAAUAAAAAGAUAAUUUUUUUUCGAUUUAUUCCACAUUGUAAAAACUUUUGUAUUUUGGUUUGAAAUACAGAUGCCGCUAAUUCAUCAGGCUAAUUCAUCAGGCUGCGUCUAAAUAUUUAAAAAAAAAAUAAAGGGGUGCCAUCGAUUGGUAAGCGGUAUCAAUUGUUUACUGUUCUCUUUGUCCGUAAAUAUUAAUCUUCUUAUCUUAUUCUGGUAUUUAUUUAUUUCUUUUAUAUCAUUUAUAUAAAAAUACCCUAUAGUAUCUGAACUUGAUUAGAGGUGCAGGAACAAGAGCAGCACUAGUAACCAAGAAAUACACCAAUACCCAGAUUAGAGGUGAUCUUGGCCUGGCCGGGCUGAGCCUCAAUAGAAUUUUAGGUCCAUUUUUUAGGCAACUUGAAAAUGGACUUAAAAUUUUGCCCAAAUAAAAAUGCUAAUAUCUAAGCCUAGCCCGACCGCCAGUAUUAAAAUUUUUAUAUUAUUAUUUUUAUAUAAAACAAAUUUAAAAAUAUAAUACACUAAAAAUAUUUAAAUAAAUAUUUCUCAACAAAUUAAAAAUAAAUUAAAAAGUAUAUACAUACUUAAAUAACACUAAAAUAGGUGUAAUUUAGCAAGCAAAUGCCUAUAAAAUAAUAGCAAAAUUAACAAUAAAACGAGAGUUAUACAAUAUUCAAAUAAUAUCAAUAAAAUAGUCACAAUAUAAUAGCGAAAUGACAACAAAACAUUGGUAAAAUAGAAUCAGUUAUUUUUUGCAAAUUUAGGCCAGGCAAAAAAAACUUACCCAAAACCUAACUCAUUUAGAAAACAAGUCUCAUUUUUUGCUCAAGCUCAUUUUGUGGAUCUGUAUUUUUCUCAAAUUUUCCCACCUUUUAUACGAGCCUUUAUGCCAGGCCAAAUGACCUAACCCAUAAUCAAAUCUAAGACCAAGUGAGUAAGCAAAUGUAGUUCAGAUAUUUUAGCACAUUAUAAAAAAUUUACUUUUUAAGGCAAUGUUUAAAACAUAAAGUUUACUAUUGAAAUUGAAACAUGUUUAAAAUAAAAAUUAUCGUUUUAUAAAUAAAAGUAUCAUGAAAACCGAUUAAAAUAUUCAUAAAAGUCAAUUUUUUUUUAAAAAAAAGUACCUGAUUAGGCCUGGCACACGGCCGUGUGGCGUUAAUAGUCAUGUUUUUCUGCAUCUAAAAUUCACAAAAACUUGGGUUUUCAGUACGCAGAUGAAGCAAUUUUGAAGCAAGAGCAAUGUAAAAGACUCCCGAAGCCUAAAGCGACCAUUCAAUAACACAAGACCUUAUAACAGAAAAAGAAUACCCAAUUAUGCAUAGAAAACUAUGUCCAAAGUUUUGACACAAAACCUUCAACAAUUCCAGACUUACCAACAAAAUCAACAGUGAUUACUCGAGUUAUUGCACUGAGGAUCGUUGCUUUUGAUAUCCUCGCCUAAAAAGAAACCAAACGGUCCCUUAAAAGAAGGUUUAAACAAUUUGAGUUGGAAACGACUCCGACAAAAACGAAUGAACUACCGUAUAACAAAAGUUCUAUGAUUAACGAAAUUCACACAAUUGAUGUAAUUGGUAGUAAGGACACGCGUACUUACCUGACAAUAGUAGCAAACAAAAUGUGCAGACCAAGCAACAAUUGGAUGAAGAAAAGAAGGAAAAAAGAACAAAAAGAAAUAGAUGAAAAAAAAAAAGAAAGAAGAAAAGGAAAAAAUGGCAAUGGAAAGGAAGAGGGAACGCUUAAUAAUCUAACCAUCGAUCAAAAUUCUGACAUUACGCAAAAACAUUACCUAAUGCAUACGCUGAGACUCAAACACAGGACCAGAAAGUAGACAGAUGCUUAACCAGUGAACCAGCAGGCUCGUUCUUGACUUAAAAAAAUAGAACGUCGAUAAUGACAAUAUAUCAUAAAGAAAAGAAAAAGAAAAAUAAAGAACACAUAGAAUUUUAAGUAGAAACCCUUUUGGGAAAAAAACACAGGUAAAGGAGAAGAUAAUUCACUAUAUCGAAUUCAAAUGACUAUAAGAGGAGUAGACUAUGUCUAUUUAUAGGCUUGUAAAACCAUAUUAUAAUACAAUGAGUGUAGUAAGGUUGAAACACCUUAUUCUAAUCAAUAUCGAAUAUAUGAAGUGUAAUAAGGUUGAAAAAGCUUAUUCUAAAAUAAAAUAAAAGAAGUCAUGUAGUUCUAUAUGGAUUUUACUUUUAUUUUAUUUUACCACUGUAUUUUACUUUAACAAGGAUUCGAGUCACUCAAUUCUAACAAUCUCCACCUUGACACAAAACGAUAACAUAAGUUACUAGAAUGUAACAUUUCAAACAUAAGUGACUAAAAUGUAAUCUGAGGAAAAUAAAAGUGACUAUUUUUGCCGUUUAUCCUAUUAUUAAUUAUUUUUUAUUUAAAAUUUAAUUUAAUUAGAAUUAAAUUAAAAUAUAAUUUUUUUAGCAAAAUUUGAUUAAUAACUUAUCCCUAAUAAUUAUUUUUGAUGUGUGUAUUUAACGUUGAAAACCUUAAUUUUCCCUAUUAAUUACUUUACUAUGAUUUAAGUCGUGAAUACCCCAACGUUAAGUUACAACCAUCAUCUUUUCACCAUCAUAAUUCAUUUGGAUGCCAAUCAACUACAACUUACAGAAAAAGCAAAAUUAAACAUAACUUCCUCAUCUACUUCUACCAAACUUACAAAUCACACUUUUUGUUUCAUGUCUAUCCAAAUAUGACUGCAAUACCACCCUCUGCACUUCUUCUUUUCUCACUCACUGCCCCUUCUAUAUCAUCACUUCACCCCCAAUUUCAAUGACAGGGAUGUGGGAAAUGUUGGCCCAAUCUUUGCCUUUCUCCUUUUUACAACGUUCCUCCAGCAAAGGACAGUUCCUAAUUUCCAAACAAGAAAGAGAGGGAGGGAGCAUGUUUGGGGGCAUGGAUUGGAGCUUGGGACAGCUGCGGAUAUUCAAUUCGCAAAGAGAGGUGAGGUGUUGAAACCCCUUAUACUCCAAACCCUUUAGAUUUGGAAGACCCCAGAUCCAGAGAGUUUCAAGAGAAGAGGGAAGCAGAUGUUCGUCUGGAAAACACUCCAUCCCUACUUCUGAAACCCCGAUAUAGAAAUAUGUAAGAGAAGGGAGUGUAUGCAAACUCCAUUCCCUUUUCCUAAUCAAGCUCUCAAUUAGUUUAUCACUUCCUCCGAUUCUAAUUUCUUUUAAUUUGGAGGGCAAACCCUCUUUUGGAACCCUCUCUAUUUCUGGACAACCAUCUAUUAACAACAACUCGAGGGAAAGAAAGACAGAGUGCAUUUGCUCUGGCAAUGACUUUAGACUUUUGCAACUCCAAAGCUCAAGUCGGGUCAAAUUGGUGACAACUAAUCCAUCUUCAAUUUGAAGAGAUAUCAAAUUUUGGCACCACCAUAUUUCCAAAGAAUUGAGACAUGUUAGAUGCUGGUGGUGAGAGCCCUCUAAAGCUGCACUAAUAAACUUCAAGUCUUCACAUCUAGAAAUAUCAACAUGCUUUAGCAUAGGAAACGAUCCUAAUGGGAAAGAUUCCAGUUGACCAAACUUCGUAUCUUCUAUCUCCAAAGAUUCAAGGGAUGUAUACAAGAAGAUUUUGGAAUGAUCAAAAGCUUUGCACUGCUCGAUCCUCAAUUGUUUCAAUGCAAUAGACACACUACCUUCAAGAAGGGAUUUGAUAUCAAGACAAUUGAGAUAAUUAACUUGUCGAGAUGAGUGCAGUGUUGCAACAUCUGUUCCAAUAUGGAAUCAUUCAUAUUCGAACCUCCAAUUUCCAACUCUCGAAGCCCACAAGGCAAUGGCUCCAAUUGCAAUGCGUUGCAUUUCUUUAACUGAAGUUCACAAAUGCUUGGUGUCCUUGGGAGAAAACAUUCAAGCUUCUCACAAUUUGCAAUCACCAAUUUCUUUAAAGAGGGGAGGUGUUUAGGUAUAGACUUGAUUAGCUUUGGACAACCCCUGAUGCGUAGCUCUUGCAGAAGGGAGAAAACUAGCAAGGUCAUACAAUGUUGAUUUUAAAAAGAUAGUUUGGAAGCUAUUAAAGCUAUCCAAGAUUCAAUUGCAACGCCUUCUCUUGUCCAUUACUGUAGAACUCCUCACCAACCAUUACAACUUCGCUGAACCCAGAAAUGGAGAGAGAUUUCAAAGAUGAUAAUUGGCCAAGCGGAGGCAAAGAUAUGCAAAAUUUACAAUCUUGCAACUCCAAAGAUACCAUAUUUGAGAAGAAAAAAUGCCCCACCCAUUCUGGAAAUCUCGUGCCUUUGUAACUUUCAAUAACUAGAUGCUUCAAGUUUGUAUUAGGCUCCAAUUGUUCCAAUACUUCUCUAUCAUGCUUUGAGUCACCAUCAAUAUCAUCAUAUUCACCCCAUGUCAACUUCAACUCCUUAACAUUAACCUUAUCCUUCAAAUUGGCAUCUUUGGCAUCCCUGGCAUAUACAACAUUUUUCAGUCUUGAAAUGGCAAGUCUUCCCCGUAAAUGCUUGAGCUUUCCCAACUCAUUAAUGCUUGAACCAGUUUGAUCACCUAUAACAAAAUCUGUUAAGAUUCGAAUAUCUUUCAACUUACCCAUCCCUUCUGGCAUCCCAGUUAACUUUGCUCCCCUAAUAUCAAGAUAAAGCAUGUUGAUCAAUCUCCCCAUGUCUCUCGGCAACUCAACAAGGCCACUGCAUCCAUUGAAUGUCAAUGCUUGCAAAUUAUACAAUGUACACAGAGAAUUUGGCAACCUUGUGAUUGAAGUUUUUGAGAGAUUCAAAUUUCGUAGAUGCUUCAAGUUACUAAUUUCUUUUGGCAAUUCUUUGAUAUUGACAUACCCAGCCAAAGAAAGCACUCGUAAGCUUGAUUUCAUCAACAAAUCAUGCAUUAGCACAUUGCUAACAAAGCAAUAGUAAGAACUCACAUUUAGGAAAGCACGCAGACGUUUUGCUUCAGGUAAGUUCUGAAAUUUUUGUCGCACAUCAUAAAAUUCUUGGACAUUGGACAAAUGACGAGUCCUUUCGAUUAUUUCACAAGAAUCACCAUUACCUUCCAAUCUGCAAAUAAACCCUCCAGCGAUAGAUUUAGCCAAAUCACUGAUUAGAUCAUGCAUGACAAAACUAGAUUUCUUUCCAUUCGAUUGCUGAAAAAAUGACCUCAAUCUUAUAUCUUCAAAAUAGUCAUCACCUCGUUCUUCCACAUCACCAUGGUCAUUUGGAAGCUCUAAAAGACCUUCAGCCAUCCAUAACUGAAUUAGUUCUUCCUUCUCAAAUUCGUAAUCUUUAGGGAAAAUUGAACAAUAAACAAAACAUCGCUUUAAAUGUGAAGGAAGAUAAUAAUAACUCAAUUUCAAUGCGGGAAGAAUAUCAUUUGGUAGGUCCCAAAAAUUGCUAUGUAAUAUUUUGUUCCAUUUAGCAGCGUCUAGAUUACAACGCAGAAGACCUCCUAGAGUUUUUGCAGCCAGAGGGAGGCUGUCACAUCUUUUGACAAUUGCUUUACCGAUUGCCAUCAGAUCUGGAUGCAUGCUUGGGAUUGUACCAACGAAUGCAUGCUUUGCAAAUAGCUCCCAACAGUCAUCAUUUGAUAAGGUCUGUAGAGGAUAACUUGGAACAGUCUUCAUAAUGGAGGCAACACUUUCAUGACGUGUUGUUACAAUAAUCUUGCUGUUUUGUGCCCCAAAACUGAAAGGAAUUCUGAGCUCAUCCCAAUCAGCAGACCUUAAGUUCCAAACAUCGUCUAAAACCAAUAGAAAUUUCUUUCCCGACAAUUUGUGACUGAGUUGAAGUUGAAGCUGAUUUAAGCUCUGACUAUCAUCAUAACCACCAGGGAGCUCUUGGAGGAUGGCUUUAGUUACUUUGAAAGGAUCGGAUUCUUCCGAAACACACACCCAUGCUUUGGGCUCAAACCAUUCGGCCACUUUCUGGUCAUUAUAGAUCAAUCGUGCGAGCGUGGUUUUGCCAAGCCCGCCCAUACCCACAAUGGGAAUCACAUCUACCUUAUCAUCAGCGGACAGAUUUUGACGGUGCAGCAACUCCAUUAUAUCUUCUUUUUCACCAUCUCUGCCAUAAACACCAGACUCGUCCACCAAAGAAGAAGUUGCACGUGAUCUCCGAUACUCCUUUUCUGCUCCAGAAAUUCCUUCCAAUUUCAGGGUAUCUUUCUGGCUGACUAUAUAUUCUAGUCUCCCAAGGAUCUCCUCCAGCUUUGACUGCAUCUCAUCUUUGAAAGGAUUGAAACAAGAGAAAAUGCUACUAACCUGCUUCAUAGCAGUGGUUUGAUAUUCGGAUUCGAUCUUGUUCCGAAGAGCUUCGGUAGAGAUCUCGUCCAGGAGGUCCUCGGCAUCAUAAACAGCAUCUUUGAGCUCAUCAAUCCAACUUUUGACAUUUGGGC